UGGCGGACGGGUGAGUAACGCGUGAGCAACCUACCUUCUGAUGGGGGAUAACGUCUGGAAACGGACGCUAAUACCGCAUAAACCGAUGUUAUCGCAUGGUGAUAUCGGCAAAGAGAUAUCGUCGGGAGAUGGGCUCGCGUUGGAUUAGAUAGUUGGCGGGGUAACGGCCCACCAAGUCAACGAUCCAUAGCCGGACUGAGAGGUCGGACGGCCACAUUGGAACUGAGAUACGGUCCAGACUCCUACGGGAGGCAGCAGUGGGGAAUAUUGGGCAAUGGGCGAAAGCCUGACCCAGCGACGCCGCGUGAAGGAAGAAGGUCUUCGGAUUGUAAACUUCAGUAGGCAGGGACGAAGAAAGUGACGGUACCUGCAGAGUAAGCCACGGCUAACUACGUGCCAGCAGCCGCGGUAAUACGUAGGUGGCGAGCGUUAUCCGGAUUUACUGGGUGUA
Molecule: ribosomal RNA, 451 nt
Filed under: uncultured bacterium
Lineage: Bacteria
Description: bacterial SSU rRNA
Rfam family: Bacterial small subunit ribosomal RNA
Source: RNAcentral